GAUGAACGCUGGCGGCGUGCCUAAUACAUGCAAGUCGAACGCUGAAGGAGGAGCUUGCUCUUCUGGAUGAGUUGCGAACGGGUGAGUAACGCGUAGGUAACCUGCCUGGUAGCGGGGGAUAACUAUUGGAAACGAUAGCUAAUACCGCAUGACAACAGUUAUUGCAUGAUAACUGUUUAAAAGGGGCAACUGCUCCACUACCAGAUGGACCUGCGUUGUAUUAGCUAGUUGGUGAGGUAACGGCUCACCAAGGCGACGAUACAUAGCCGACCUGAGAGGGUGAUCGGCCACACUGGGACUGAGACACGGCCCAGACGCCUACGGGAGGCAGCAGUAGGGAAUCUUCGGCAAAGGACGGAAGACUGACCGAGCAACGCCGCGUGAGUGAAGAAGGUUUUCGGAUCGUAAAGCUCUGUUGUAAGAGAAGAACGAGUGUGAGAGUGGAAAGUUCACACUGUGACGGUAUCUUACCAGAAAGGGACGGCUAACUACGUG
This 495-nucleotide ribosomal RNA is filed under the name uncultured bacterium. RNAcentral describes it as "partial 16S ribosomal RNA". It matches the Rfam family "Bacterial small subunit ribosomal RNA", at positions 28 to 507 of the family's 1533-position model. The record is from RNAcentral.